GCAUGGAGAUCCCGAAAUCAUUGUGCACGGCUCACCGUGGAGUCCAAUGUAUGAGGGCAACAUAUGGUUAUUUCCUACCAGGAACUGGCUUCCAACAAAAACUCGUCCUUCAAAAGUCACCCACUGAGGAAAGCAGAUUCUUCUGCAGGAUGUGAAGGGGAAACAUGAGGGAAGGAUUCCUGGGUACCAGAGAGAUCUGCUAUUCAGAUUGCCUGCUAACACUGGGCUUGAUUAAUGGAAACUAAGCAUUUUGAAGGAUACCCUCCAACCUUGCCUUUCCCUUUCCAUGUUCCCUUGGCAAAAAUCAGGUAUUUGAAAGCUGCAAUACAACAGCAUCAUCUUUCCAUCUUGUGGUAAAUAUUCUAUUAUUCCUUUAUCCUCCAUGCUGUUUAAAGGGAUUAAUUUAAAAUAUGAGCUCCUUUGUUCACAGAGAAAGUCUCCAAGGGGUGUGCAAACAAGAAUCUUUAGA
Molecule: non-coding RNA, 469 nt
Organism: Taeniopygia guttata (zebra finch)
Lineage: Eukaryota; Metazoa; Chordata; Aves; Passeriformes; Estrildidae
Source: RefSeq, a predicted model, not a curated record